Molecule: long non-coding RNA, 775 nt
Filed under: Homo sapiens (human)
Lineage: Eukaryota; Metazoa; Chordata; Mammalia; Primates; Hominidae
Description: HRG and FETUB antisense RNA 1
Source: RNAcentral
UGCCUGGAGUGAAGAUUCUGCCCAUUGGUCAAGAGACCUCCCUCUCAGAUGCUGGCUCUGCCCCUGCCUUUGGGGGUCGACCCUUGUACUCGCAGGACCUUAGGUGACUCUAUUCUACUUCUCUGAUCAUCCAGGAAGCCAACCUGCCUGAGGACGAGUCAUACUCUGUCCUCCCACCCCAGGCCAGAGAGUGGUAUCUGUCUUUCCACAAGUUGGAUCUGAAUGAUGCAGUGUCGCAAUCCCAUUUUAUAAAUGAGGCAACCAAAACUCGAACAGGACCAUAUUGCGACUGAAACAAGGCAUAACAGGUCUUUGACUGGCUAUCCUGUGGAUGUGGACUCAGGCUAGCCUGCGCAAAGUGAAAGACAGGCAAUUAGAUUGAAAAAUACCUGUGAUUCAAAGAAGUCACAAGUCACAGAGACAAACUUUUCCCAGUGUGUUCGAGUCAGAGAACCUUUGCAAAGACCAACAGGCUAAAAGAGAAAAUACAAUGUCAUCUUGAUGCAGAUGAGCAGGUAACCAUGGAAGUCGUGAGCUGAGGCUGCAGAGUCUAGAGCCAGAGUGUGGAAUAAACUUGGGUCUCAAAUCACCCCUGGAGCAAAGCACCCAUCUAAUCAGGAACUUCUACUUUCAACUUUACAUGCGUGAGAAAUGAACUUCUAUCAUGUUAGAGAAAUCCUUACACGGCGCCCUUGAGAGCUUUCAUACUGCAAGUCAUCCAUUUUCCUCCCCUCAAACCUGGCAUCGGAGUUUAUUGAAACAAAGCAAAAUAAAA